UGCCAGCCGCCGCGGUAAUACAGAGGGUGCAAGCGUUGUUCGGAAUUACUGGGCGUAAAGCGUGCGUAGUCGGUAUUGAGAGUCACGGGUGAAAUCCCAGGGCUUAACCCUGGAACUGCCUGUGAGACCUCAGUACUAGAGUGUGAGAGGGGAUAGUGGAAUACCCAGUGUAGCGGUGGAAUGCGUAGAGAUUGGGUGGAACACCGGUGGCGAAGGCGGCUAUCUGGCUCACAACUGACGAUCAGGCACGAAAGCGUGGGGAGCAAACAGGAUUAGAUA
This 279-nucleotide ribosomal RNA is filed under the name uncultured bacterium. Its description in RNAcentral is "partial 16S ribosomal RNA". It matches the Rfam family "Bacterial small subunit ribosomal RNA", at positions 506 to 784 of the family's 1533-position model. The record is from RNAcentral.